This 371-nucleotide ribosomal RNA is filed under the name uncultured bacterium. Its description in RNAcentral is "bacterial SSU rRNA". It matches the Rfam family "Bacterial small subunit ribosomal RNA", at positions 527 to 896 of the family's 1533-position model. The record is from RNAcentral.
GUAGGGGGCAAGCGUUGUCGGGAUUUAUUGGGCGUAAAGAGCGUGUAGGCGGCCAGAUAGGUCUGUUGUGAAAACUCGAGGCUCAACCUCGAGACGCCGAUGGAAACCAUUUGGCUAGAGUCCGGAAGAGGAGAGUGGAAUUCCUGGUGUAGCGGUGAAAUGCGCAGAUAUCAGGAAGAACACCCGUGGCUAAGGCGGCUCUCUAGUACGGUACUGACGCUGAGACGCGAAAGCGUGGGGAGCGAACAGGAUUAGAUACCCUGGUAGUCCACGCCGUAAACGAUGGGUGCUAGGUGUGGGGGGUGUCGACUCCCUCCGUGCCGAAGCUAACGCAUUAAGCACCCCGCCUGGGGAGUACGGCCGCAAGGCUA